AACGAACGCUGGCGGCAUGCCUAACACAUGCAAGUCGAACGAGACCUUCGGGUCUAGUGGCGCACGGGUGCGUAACGCGUGGGAACCUGCCCUUAGGUUCGGAAUAACUCCCCGAAAGGGGUGCUAAUACCGGAUAAUGUCUUCGGACCAAAGAUUUAUCGCCUUUGGAUGGGCCCGCGUUGGAUUAGCUAGUUGGUAGGGUAAAAGCCUACCAAGGCGACGAUCCAUAGCUGGUCUGAGAGGAUGAUCAGCCACACUGGGACUGAGACACGGCCCAGACCCCUGGGGGGGGGAAGAGGGGAUAAUUUGGGAAAGUGGGAGAACGCGUGCCCCCACUGCCCCGUGAGAGGGAUGAAGCCUUGGGGUGUUUAACUCUCUUUUCCCGGGGAUGAAAGUGAGAGUCCCGGGAAAAAACGCCCGGUCACACCCC
This 430-nucleotide ribosomal RNA is filed under the name uncultured bacterium. RNAcentral describes it as "partial 16S ribosomal RNA". It matches the Rfam family "Bacterial small subunit ribosomal RNA", at positions 29 to 504 of the family's 1533-position model. The record is from RNAcentral.